AUUGAACGCUGGCGGCAUGCCUUACACAUGCAAGUCGAACGGUAACGGGCCUUCGGGUGCCGGCGAGUGGCGAACGGGUGAGUAAUGCAUCGGAACGUGCCCGAUCGUGGGGGAUAACGAGGCGAAAGCUUUGCUAAUACCGCAUACGAUCUACGGAUGAAAGCAGGGGACCGCAAGGCCUUGCGCGGACGGAGCGGCCGAUGGCAGAUUAGGUAGUUGGUGGGAUAAAAGCUUACCAAGCCGACGAUCUGUAGCUGGUCUGAGAGGAUGAUCAGCCACACUGGGACUGAGACACGGCCCAGACUCCUACGGGAGGCAGCAGUGGGGAAUUUUGGACAAUGGGCGCAAGCCUGAUCCAGCCAUGCCGCGUGCAGGAUGAAGGCCUUCGGGUUGUAAACUGCUUUUGUACGGAACGAAAAGCCUUCUUUUAAUACAGGAGGGUCAUGACGGUACCGUAAGAAUAAGCACCGGCUAACUACGU
Molecule: ribosomal RNA, 481 nt
Filed under: uncultured bacterium
Lineage: Bacteria
Description: partial 16S ribosomal RNA
Rfam family: Bacterial small subunit ribosomal RNA
Source: RNAcentral